AGGGCACCACCAGGAGUGGAGCCUGCGGCUUAAUUUGACUCAACACGGGAAAACUCACCCGGCCCGGACACUGGAAGGAUUGACAGAUUGAGAGCUCUUUCUUGAUUCAGUGGGUGGUGGUGCGUGGCCGUUCUUAGUUGGUGGAGUGAUUUGUCUGGUUAAUUCCGAUAACGAACGAGACUCUAGCCUAUUAAAUAGAUCGUUGGCUUACAAACGCCGGCGAGACUUCUUAGAGGGACAGGCGGCGAUUCAGCCGCACGAAACAGAGCAAUAACAGGUCUGUGAUGCCCUUAGAUGUCCGGGGCCGCACGCGCGCUACACUGAAGUGAUCAGCGUGCAUUUUGAAACCUACUCUGUCAAGAGUGGGGAACCCAAUGAACCUUCUUCGUGAUUGGGAUAGGGGAUUGUAAUUAUUCCCCUUGAACGAGGAAUUCCCAGUAAGCGCGAAUCAUAAGUUUGCGCUGAUUACGUCCCUGCCCUUUGUACACACCGCCCGUCGCUACUACCGAUUGAAUGUUU
This 519-nucleotide ribosomal RNA is filed under the name uncultured eukaryote. RNAcentral's name for it is "SSU rRNA". It matches the Rfam family "Eukaryotic small subunit ribosomal RNA", at positions 1161 to 1698 of the family's 1831-position model. The record is from RNAcentral.